GUCUGUCUGUGUAUGUGUGUGUGUGAGAGCUGACAACCCAUGAGUGCUCAUGUGGCGCAGUGGUUAAGGCUUCGGACCUUAGACUCUGAGGCUGGGGGGUCAGAUCCCACCACUGACACCACUGUGUCACCCCAAGCAGGUCACUUCACCCAUUGUAUCUCAAACGUUGUAAGUCACUUUGGAUAAAGGCGUCACCCAAAUAGACAGAUGGAGGUGGAAGAGCAUUGAGUAGAAUGAGGACACCCAGGAGUUCUGAACGUCACAAACAGAGGAGAAGCCCGUCUGUCUGACGUCUCGUGUUUUAUGCACCACGACAGAAUG
Molecule: long non-coding RNA, 321 nt
Organism: Polypterus senegalus (gray bichir)
Lineage: Eukaryota; Metazoa; Chordata; Cladistia; Polypteriformes; Polypteridae
Exons: 2
Source: RefSeq, a predicted model, not a curated record